AGUACAAGCAAAUGCAUUGAUGUCAAAUUCAAUUGGUGUGUGACUGGACAUGGCUAAUGAGGCAUAUGCCUGUAACGUUCUUCUCUUCUUCAGGGAGCAGGGUUGCAGCUUAAUUGGAAUCUUCUGCACAUCAGCACAUCCACCUCAUUGUCAAAUUAAAUUCGACUUCAGAUCGUAUGAAGAGCAUACUGAGAUACAAGAUGGAGGAAACAUGAAGGACUACAGUACAUAGACAUGCAGAAAAGAGAAAGACAAUACAGACUCGAUGGUGAUCACACUACACUACAACUGAAUGAUUGAAUCCAAUGAAGCUUAGGAACGAGACUGGAGGAAGAUCAAAGAAAGCUGCUCUUGGGGGCCAAACUCAUAAAACAGGUGGCAAGUGAAAUCUUUAACUCCAAGUAUGGAUGGAGGGCCGCUACAAGAAGGAUUGGAUGCUGAAGAUGUCUCUCUUGCUUUAGGUCUGGAUGUCAGAUGCAACUACAAAAAUUAGGUUUUGGGUGAUGAUCGCUGUAUCUCUGAAUCACCAGCUGGUUAUGUUUCAGGGUUUUAGUCCUUAGAGCUAUAUGCUGUUAUUUUGUUUUGUGUGAUGUCAUCUACAAAUCCAGCUAUCUUGGUAGCUUGUCUAAGACUGCUCUGUAUCUGAACCUGAACUUUGUAGUUCUUCAUUUCUAGUAAUGGA
This is a non-coding RNA of Oryza sativa Japonica Group (Japanese rice), 682 nucleotides long. NCBI's taxonomy places the organism in Eukaryota, Viridiplantae, Streptophyta, Magnoliopsida, Poales, Poaceae. The record is from RefSeq and is a predicted model, not a curated record.